GGGCAAUGAGAUUAACAUGUUAAAUCUUGGCCAGAGUUCUUUCUGUAAAUUAUUGGGCUUUGCCUCUACACUGCCGUCGAAAUGACAGAAAGUAACAUGGUGAAAACUGAAAAAGCAUGCAUAAUGUAUUUAUUAUCCAUGAUUUUACAUUACAGCUAUUUUGUGAACCUUAUUUCUCAAGCACAAUACAGGUUUCCAGUUUAGUCUUUACUCUUCGCCAUGUUCUAUUCUUAAUGUAUCAAGGUAAGAUUUUGAUCGAAGUUCGCGAGAGAAUAAGCCCUUGAAGAACUCCUUAACCGUGAUUCUUUUAAACAUUGCCGGCGUUUCCUUGGUAAUCAAGCUCCGUGCUGGACUUAUUUCACCAUCAAACCUCGGAGAAUGGAAUGCAACAAUUGAGAGCCUUUCCUUCUGAGAGUUCACUGUUGCACGAUGCAGGAUGCUACGAUAUGUGCCAUUGGUUAUGAUCUCCAAAAUGUCUCCAAUGUUGAUAACAAAGGCAUUUGGUAGGGGCUUCACAUGAAUCCACCUCCCAUCUUUCCUAAUCUGAAGACCUUCAACAUCAUUAAUUUGUAGGAGAAUGGAGAGACCCGUGCCAUCUGAAUGAGGGGUCAGGCCAAUGACCUUCUCUGGUUGAGGACAAGGCGGAUAAUAGUUCAUUCUCAUUGUUUGCCUUAUGCCUUCAAUGAAGAUCUCUCUCAUUUCCUCAUCUCUAAUUUUCAGCACUUUUGCCAUCUGCUCAAGGAUGACCACAGCUAAAUUUUUCACUUCUGAUGAAUAACUCUCCAAGGUGUCUCUGAAAGGAAGAGGGAGCUUUGGAAACAAGUGAGGCUUCCUCAAAUGAACUGGUUGAGUGACCAUGAAGAAAAGAUCAGCCCAGUCAAGCUUCUGCUCUUCAGACACAACAAAGGCCUGACCAAAUCCCUCUACUUCUCCAGGAUACUGCCAGAAUUUUUUCUUCUCCUCCAUUGGGAGGUUAAAGAAAUCCUGAAGUUCUGUCUUCAUUCUCUCCAACAAUGAAGAGCUUACUCCAUGGUUUAUCAACUGUGAUAGUUCAGCAAAUGAAGCAUGCACAAAAACUAUGGCAAGCUACAACAGCUCUGAAUUUUGAGCAUUUACACCACUUGUGAAGAUUAAAAAUUCAUCACAAUUCCAUUGAAUUCUGUCAAGAUGUUGUAGAAUUUCUAUUUGUUUACGCUAAAUUUCUUAGCUUGCUCUCCUCUCGUGUAAGUUUCCAAUCAAUUUUAAGAAUUUUGAUUUUCCAAAGAUUAGAUCCUUGGUUUUUGAAUUUUCUAUUUGUUGAUUUUUUAUAGCAGCAGUGAGAACAUGGUCCUACUACUACAAUUUCCUGAGCGAGUAAAAUAAGCAACAAGAAAGUAAAGCAACUGGCAUUUUCUUGUACAUUGGUUUAACGAUGUUUGCUAAGAAAGCUAUUUCUUGCAAUAGCAAAACCAGUGAAAUUGUUAACCAUUAUCAAUGAACCCAAAGUGCAAUUGUGAGAAUUGAAUUGUUUUUGGGUUGUCUUCUUCCUUGUCAACUACUAAUCAUAGAGAAGACUAUGGUAAUGAUCCUGCGUUUUACUUUUCUUGCUUUGAAAAAGAAGAAGAAAGAAGAGUGCGUAUACCUGGAAGAAACCCCAUUCCUUGCAAGCAAAAUGGAGCUUGGCCAAUUCAGAAUCCAUGGACUCUUGGUUAUGUAACCUCUGCAUAUCGAUAACUGUAACCUCAGGCAAUGGGGCAUCAUCCUCAACAACAACGAUGGGAUGAUCUUGAUCAGGGCGUAUGUACCUUGGUGGGACAGUAACCAAGGGCUCCUUGGCCAAUUCUUGGACACAAGGAACCAACAGAGAGGUUCCAAGACUGCUUCCUUUUGAUUCCAUGCUCUUCUUGCCCAACAGAUCCUUUAUUUGGCAAUCGCUAUUCCUCCUCAAACGAAUACAAAGCAGAAGAGGUUUAUAAGGGACACAAGAAAGUUUGAGGACAAAGUCG
This 1985-nucleotide unclassified non-coding RNA is filed under the name Hevea brasiliensis (rubber tree). Lineage: Eukaryota; Viridiplantae; Streptophyta; Magnoliopsida; Malpighiales; Euphorbiaceae. The record is from RNAcentral.